ACAUCCUUCGGCGAUACAUACGGUAAAAUUGGGAACGUGAAGAGUAAUUUAGCAUGGACCCUGCGGUAGGAUGACACGUGAAAUAAAUAAAAAAGUGGGUAGUGUUU
Small nuclear RNA from Schistocerca serialis cubense, 107 nucleotides. Lineage: Eukaryota; Metazoa; Arthropoda; Insecta; Orthoptera; Acrididae. The record is from RefSeq and is a predicted model, not a curated record.